This 501-nucleotide ribosomal RNA is filed under the name uncultured bacterium. RNAcentral describes it as "bacterial SSU rRNA". It matches the Rfam family "Bacterial small subunit ribosomal RNA", at positions 29 to 515 of the family's 1533-position model. The record is from RNAcentral.
AGUGAACGCUGGCGGCAGGCCUAAUACAUGCAAGUCGAACGGCAGCACAGCAGAGCUUGCUCUGUGGGUGGCGAGUGGCGGACGGGUGAGGAAUACAUGGGAAUCUGCCCAGUCGUGGGGGAUAACGUAGGGAAACUUACGCUAAUACCGCAUGCGCCCUUCGGGGGAAAGCCGGGGACCUUCGGGCCUGGCGCGAUUGGAUGAGCCCAUGUCGGAUUAGCUAGUUGGCGGGGUAAUGGCCCACCAAGGCGACGAUCCGUAGCUGGUCUGAGAGGAUGAUCAGCCACACUGGAACUGAGACACGGUCCAGACUCCUACGGGAGGCAGCAGUAGGGAAUAUUGGACAAUGGGCGCAAGCCUGAUCCAGCCAUGCCGCGUGAGUGAAGAAGGCCCUCGGGUUGUAAAGCUCUUUUUGUCCGGAAGAAAAAGCGCCGGGUUAAUACCCUAGUGUCCUGACGGUACCGGAAGAAUAAGACACCGGACUAACUUCGUGCCAGCACG